This 1584-nucleotide long non-coding RNA is filed under the name Gallus gallus (chicken). RNAcentral's name for it is "lncRNA (ENSGALG00010004448.1)". The record is from RNAcentral. Lineage: Eukaryota; Metazoa; Chordata; Aves; Galliformes; Phasianidae.
GUGGUGAUGCAGUGGCACAGGCUGCCCAGGGAGGUGGUGGAGUCACUGUCCCUGGAGGUGUUCAAGAACCAUGUAGAUGUGACACCGAGGGAUGUAGUUAAUGGGCACGGUGGGUUGACAGUUGGACCAGAUGAUCUUAAUGGUCUCUUCCAACCUUAAUGAUUCAAUGAAUUCCAUGUUUCUACGAUUCCAUGAAGGUUGAUCACCUCCUAUGUGUCCAGUGUCUCCGCCACGGUGAGCUGCAAGGUGCAAACUUCUACAAGGGCUCAAUGCAGCAACAGCAGAAAUUGCCCCAAAAAGCAGUGUUUCAAAGAGUCUUUUGCAUGUUGGAAUUUUACAAAUCUCCAAUGAGGAAAAAAAACUCUUCAUGGUGAUGUGCCAGGCUGGGCUGCAGCCAGCAGACCUGGAGCGGGAGCAGCUGGGUGGCAGAGCAUGGUGGGAGCACUGCAGCCAGGAGCCUUCACUGCAGACUCACUCACAUACUGCAGCCCUUUGGAGAGGAUCAUCUGCAUAAUUACAAGGAUCACAAAUUCUGCACUUCCCCUAUCAGUGAGCGUUUUCCUUUUGGGUACAGUAUGUUCCUGCAGAUUCCAACGAUAAACUGUCCUAAUGGUCUUUGCAGUCAUUUGAUGUAGCUACAUAAAAAUGUCCUAGCACUGCGCUGGAAGGCAGCUCCCCUCCGCGUGGAUCUGCAUGGGAACAGGGUGUGUGCAGCACGUCCCAUCCACGGCAGGGCAGAGCUGGGCCAAUGUGCAGCUGUGAGCGUGAGCGCGGUGAGCGGGCAGCACGUGCCGUGCCAGCUGUGCCCAACGCGCACCGGCAGCCCUCCAGCAAACGUCCCAUUGUGCUGUGCAUGCUUACUGGAAAGUGGCUUUGCGAGCAGAGCUAUUUCAACCAGCUGCUGGGGAACUUCAUGGAGUGCUGCAGGACCUCAGCGCACAGAGGUUGUCAUGCUGUGACCUGGGGGAGAACAAUGAGGGAAGCACAAAGGUUACCCAGAAAGUUGGUCAAUGGAGAAAGAAGGGCUGAGCCUCUUGCUGCAGCCUGCAGGACAUGGGGACGUCGCACCCAGCUCUCUCUGCACAGCAGGCACCUGAUUCUGGGCAACCGAAAAUGGGAGCACCAAAAACAGAGGUGUUUUGAAAGCAGUGACUGCCGUAAGGGAAGAGUUCGGUUCGUUUCCUCUCUGGAGUGCUCUUCUAUUGACUCAGUCCUCAAGCAGUGGGAGGUGCUGGAAGGUUGUUUAAACACAAAGAAGAGAGGCAAGGUGAUCUCAAAUAAGAUACGAGUACUGUGGGUUGACCUAUUACUGAGAUGUUUACUGUACAGAAUUUUGUUUAACUUCAGUCCUUAAAGAAUAAAAUCGGCUCCUGAAGGCAUUUAAGAGACUGCAUCCAGACAGCAAGCUGCAGCCUGUGUCAGCACCACUUGAAGGGCCACUGGGGACUGUGCUGGAGCCCUGUUCAGGCAGAGGAAGCAACUGCCAUGGAUCUGCUGUCCCUGCUCAAUGCAAAGAAGUUGGACCAGAUGACCUUUAAAGAUCCCUUGCAACUCCAACUCUAUGAUUCUAUGAAAAUAAAUGGA